CAGUGCCGCGGUAACACGUAGGGUGCGAGCGUUAAUCGGAAUUACUGGGCGUAAAGCGUGCGCAGGCGGUUCGUUAAGACAGAUGUGAAAUCCCCGGGCUUAACCUGGGAACUGCAUUUGUGACUGGCGAGCUAGAGUAUGGCAGAGGGGGGUAGAAUUCCACGUGUAGCAGUGAAAUGCGUAGAGAUGUGGAGGAAUACCGAUGGCGAAGGCAGCCCCCUGGGCCAAUACUGACGCUCAUGCACGAAAGCGUGGGGAGCAAACAGGAUUAGAGACCCCUGUAGUCCCUGUCUCUUAUACA
Molecule: ribosomal RNA, 301 nt
Filed under: uncultured bacterium
Lineage: Bacteria
Description: partial 16S ribosomal RNA
Rfam family: Bacterial small subunit ribosomal RNA
Source: RNAcentral